UCCCUCUUAGCUCAGUUGGUAGAGCGCGUCACUAGUAUCUACGAAUAUUCCAAAAAUUUAUGACGAGGUCAGUCGUUCAAAUCGGCUAGCGGGAA
Mycena rebaudengoi is the source of this 95-nucleotide non-coding RNA. Lineage: Eukaryota; Fungi; Basidiomycota; Agaricomycetes; Agaricales; Mycenaceae. The record is from the annotation of a GenBank genome assembly.